AUAUAUGGUUUAUCCGAAUACUUUUUUGAAAAAAAUAUCGUAGAUAGUAAAUUAUUUCCAAAAAUAUUUAAACAAAGAGUUCUUGAUAAUCAUAUACAAAUAUGGCAUUCAUCUGUAGAAAAUAAUUCUGUUUUACAACUUUGUGUAGCUUGAUAAUCUGCCCUCAUGAUACCAGUGCCAGUUGUAUGUAUAUUUUAAGUAAUGUUUUCCAUGUUGUUUUCAGCAUUUAUAGAACAGUUGUUGUAUAAUUAGUUAGAAGAUGGAUAGACACGUGACUUCUACACAAGGGGUAAUGGGAUGUGAGAGAAAAAUGGCUUUUUACAUAGAUAUAUCUUAUUUCAGAGGAAGGGCUAAACAUAGUAUGGGAUGGUUGAUUGCAGAAGACAAUAUUUAGCGAGAGUCCAGCCUUUUAUAUUUUGUUAACAUAAAUCAAUCCGUUGAUUGGAUGUGGCAAGAAUUUUCCAUAUUUCCAAGUUAGAAGAGGCUAAAUGGAUUCUGUUUGAAAAGAUCCAGCAUAAAAGCAAUUAACAGAUGCGAAACAAUGUGUCUCUGUGAAAAGGGUAUAGGCUAAAGGUUUCAACAGCUACGGCCGAAAAGGUGGAGAUAUAAUUUCAGCAUUGAACAAGGGCAGGGCAAUAUGUAUAUAUACAUGUGUAGCGUUGUCAGACUAUAUGGAUAGUCGGGCCUCGGUGACAAAAAUGAUGAAAUAACAUUGUGUUUUUUCAGUGUAUUAACAUUCAGAAGAUUCAUUUUAUUUUUAAAUGUCUUUUUAAAAUAUUUUUUUUUUACAAAACUUCCAUGGUAAAGUAAGUGCAUUUUAGCAUUGGUAAGAUAUUCACUUGAAGGAUUGAUUUUCACAGAAAUGCAAAUACAAUGUAUACAGUAUAAAUAAUAAUUAUUCGUGUAAAAUGUAUUGCAAUUUUGAAUUAUAAUAUGAAUUUAAAAGAUUCAUACAACUUUAUUAAUGGUAGAGCUAACUUGUAAGAAUAUUAAAUGGAAUCUGACUUAAAGUAAAAAAAAAUAUAUCAUUAGUGGGUGGGGUAAUGUUUUAUACUAGUCUAAAUGAUGAUGUAUAGAUUAUGCAGUGUUGCGACUUUUUGAAUGUAAUCAACAUUGGUUGAAGUGUUUUGGAUUAAAUAAAGCAUGUUUGUGUAUAAAUGUGUUACUUUGUUAAUGAUCAUAUUUGCGUAGAAUAUCUGGGUUAUUUAAUUUCACAGAUUUUUCUAAUUGAAAAAACAUGAUUUCAAAAAAUGACAUUUUUAGCAUUUUAUACUUCGAAUUUUUUUGAGGACUUUUUACCUGUAGCAACACAUAUAUAGUAGAUAACAAAUAUGCAAAUAUCUUUUCUGAAGGAAUUUGUUUGAGGUUGGGUCUUAUUUUUGGCUAAAAUGCCU
Long non-coding RNA from Ruditapes philippinarum (Manila clam), 1394 nucleotides. RefSeq lists it as uncharacterized. The transcript has 3 exons. NCBI's taxonomy places the organism in Eukaryota, Metazoa, Mollusca, Bivalvia, Venerida, Veneridae. The record is from RefSeq and is a predicted model, not a curated record.